This 253-nucleotide ribosomal RNA is filed under the name uncultured bacterium. Its description in RNAcentral is "partial 16S ribosomal RNA". It matches the Rfam family "Bacterial small subunit ribosomal RNA", at positions 524 to 776 of the family's 1533-position model. The record is from RNAcentral.
UACGAAGGGGGCUAGCGUUGUACGGCCUUACUGGGCGUAAAGCGCACGUAGGCGAACUGUUAAGUCAGGGGUGAAAUCCCGGGGCUCAACCCCGGAACUGCCUUUGAUACUGUCAGUCUCGAGUUCGAGAGAGGUGAGUGGAAUUCCGAGUGUAGAGGUGAAAUUCGUAGAUAUUCUGAGGAACACCAGUGGCGAAGGCGCCUCACUGGCUCGAUACUGACGCUGAGGUGCGAAAGCGUGGGGAGCAAACAGG